UACGUAUGGUGCAAGCGUUAUCCGGAUUUACUGGGUGUAAAGGGAGCGUAGACGGUUGUGUAAGUCUGAUGUGAAAGCCCGGGGCUCAACCCCGGGACUGCAUUGGAAACUAUGUAACUAGAGUGUCGGAGAGGUAAGUGGAAUUCCUAGUGUAGCGGUGAAAUGCGUAGAUAUUAGGAGGAACACCAGUGGCGAAGGCGGCUUACUGGACGAUCACUGACGUUGAGGCUCGAAAGCGUGGGGAGCAAACAGG
Molecule: ribosomal RNA, 253 nt
Filed under: Faecalicatena fissicatena
Lineage: Bacteria; Bacillati; Bacillota; Clostridia; Lachnospirales; Lachnospiraceae
Description: partial 16S ribosomal RNA
Rfam family: Bacterial small subunit ribosomal RNA
Source: RNAcentral